UUUGCGUACCUUUAAAUCUGUUGAGCUGCGUAUUUCGGUGAGGAGACGUGUGCGUGUGCCCACUUUGACGGAGAGAUCGACCAGGCGCCGCAGGAACACAGGCGGAUCGUCUCCGGUCGAUCUGUCCUCGACAAUGAGUUCGACGUUCCUGCGCACCAAAUCGUUACUUUUCGUUCGUGCGAACAGCGUGUAAUGUCCGGCAUCCUCUCGCUGCACAUGCUCCACGGCCAACUGGACGGCAUUGCUGGUUUGCGUUAUCCGAAAGCGAUCCGAGUUCUCAAUAGGUAUUUCUCCGCGGCUCCUGAAAGUGAAAGAUUAGUGCCACACCAAGAAGCGGCCAUGAUCCGGUGGCAUAAAAUUGAAAUGUUUUGACGCACGCCAGACCGAAUUCCGUUCAAUACCCGAGACAAUUUCACUGGCGCAACACGAAAAAUCACGGACGACGAACGCUAGACGGGGGAGGCAAUGCGACGCGUCGCGGGCCGAUGCGAUUUGUUAAUGCAGCUAUAUUUAGACGAUCGUAAUAGUUUUCAGGCCCGCCACACGCAAAAUAUGGGACAGGUACCAGCUGUGAUUUAUUGAGUAUACGCCACGGGCGCCCCCAGAUUUACGCACUACGUAUACGUCUGAUCCCUCUGUGUGUGUAUAUAUAUAGAACUUUCGUAUGGCCGAACACGAAUGCUGAUGCUGCGGAUAGCCGGAUGGGCAACGGAUAUGUUAAUGCGCCGAUCGUCAAAGUGGAACUGUCCGCUCAUUUCGGUGGGCCAGAGGCACGCCAUACGCCAUAGACCCCUAGAGCAGGUUGAGCAAUGCCACAGCACGCAGCAACCGCAGGAGAGGCACAGCACUAGCUCUCGUGGCGCAGUCGCCGGUGGAACUGCUCGCUCUCUGGGUCUCUGCUCAAUAGAGCGUUUGAAGGAGAACUCAUAUGUUAAUGCGCACAAUUCUGCCAUUAUGCAGACCAGGCACACACUAGGACGGGAUACGGGCAAGGUCUGAGUGAAUCACCAGCGGCAAGUGCACAGGUAGACAGGCAGAACAGAGCCAAACAGGCAGAUUUAUAAGUGGAUAUGACUUACCAUUCGAAUUUGAAGGGCAGCAAUUCGGACUCCUCAUCCUCAUCGCAAUCGAUUUUCACAAAGAAUGUUGCCCGCUCGUUGGGUAUGCAGCGAAUCAAAGAGCUGGAGUUAUCGCUGAACGUGAUGCGGGGUGGUGGUCUGCGCUGGAUCGUUUCCGAUACUGGUUCCUGGCCAGGAGGUUCUGUCAAGGAGAAUGGGGAAUAUCAUUUGGUGCGUAUGUCAUGACUAAUCGGUUUCUAUGUUGCGGUGUCUUGGGAAGUUUCACAAAAGAUAAAUUAUAAUAAAUAUUUGCAGAAAUGUCAAAGAUUCCCCAAAAAGAACUGAACAUAAAUUUUAUGCCGACAACAAGGCAGGCGCGCUCAUCCCAAUUCCGUGUAUAUUCGACUGGGAGAUACCCUAAACUGUAAUAAACUUUCCCUUAGAAUUCGGUUGGAACAUUAUCUUCCAUCAAUUUCUAUGAACUUUCCUUUCUAAGCUCUAAAAAUCUGCAUGCUUAUGAUGCUAAAUACAUGUAUUGUAUUCUAAGGAAUAAUAUUGACCGCUAUACCCUCUGAAUACACCGAGUAUUCAGAAUUGGCACUAAAAAUAGUUCCAAAUAUUAUUCAUACACGCAAGACAAGAAACUAUUCUAGAGCAUGUCGAAUCUUUCCUUUCCGCCUGAGAAACCAUAAUCAAAUGUGAUUCCCAAAUACUAUUGAAAUAUUAAGGAACAUCUCGAUCUUGGCUACGAACAGAAUGACACUCGGGCAGAAUGGCCAGCAGCAGCAGCAACAGCGCAUUUUCCAACGUACAAUUAUGAAAAUUUCUCAUACACAUUUCCCAAUUACGUAACCAGCUACCAGAAGUCUAGCAGACGCGGAUACGGACAAAGACGAAGCAGAGCCCGUGGAAUGCCAUAAAAAUACACAUAAAUACUCAUGAGAUCCCAUUGUCUGUUCGGGAAUCGCCCGGGCACGGGCACUGGCAAGGGAGACAGAACAGAAAAGGGGAGGGGACAAAAAAGGAGAAAUCGUUCGCUUUCCCGGUGUCUGGGGCCUUUUUUUACUUAUGCUUACCUACUACGACGGCAGCCUCUUCAGCGGCGGCUGCUGGCGAUGUUUCCAUGUUCAGGUCUCGCUAUAUAAUUAGCCAAAAACAGGGCCACCAAGCGGACAGGGGGCCGGUUGGGGGUUACGGGUACACACUUUCAGGACGACUUUCUCUAUAGGAUUAGUCCGCUAUAUACCGAAAAUUUUUAAAUAUUUUUAAAUGCGGCUUUAGCCGCCGACAGGCGAUUUUCUUAUUUAUUUAUAUUUAGAACUCUCGACGCACACACAAACGUGAACGAACAGAACACGGAUUAUAAUUGAAAUUUUCCACUUUUUCGAUUGGUGAUUACUCGUAUUUGCUUUAAACAAUAUAUAUUGGUUAACAUAUAAUUAGGAUCUAUUCAGAUUUUUUGCCUUUUCUGGCAUUGCAUUGCAAAUGGCUGCGUUUCUUUUUCAAAUUUCCACCAGACCAGACCAGACACACUGCAUAGACACACACUCACAGAAAUUGACACAUUUGUGAACACAGAAAUGUUCAUUUCUUUUCUUUCUAUAUAUAAAUAAUAUAUACAACACGGCGUUCGACUUCGAGGGCGCGCACCACGUCCAGCAGACACCUCCUGGAUCUCCGAUCGUUUUGCUCAGACUGAACAGAGCAGGCAACAGAUCAGCCAGCGCCAGUGCCAGUCCAUGCCACCAGCAAAACACACACCGCGCCGAGAGAGGCAGAGACCAUAGACCCAGGGAGAGCUCUCAGAGAAUUCUUGAGGAUGCGCAAAGAUUUGCGCAUGUUUUUUCAAACAUUUAUUUCUGAUUGUGCAGCACACAAACACACACGUACAACUGGUCUCACACUGUCUCACAUUAGGUAUAAAAUAAAUACGUUUCUUAGAGUACGGCUGUCCGUGUUCUUUCUCAGGUGUGUAGUAAGUACAAUACAUGCUGCACUCGACCAGGCGCUAAGGCAAUCAUUUUGCUUAAGCAUAAGACACACAUCGAUCGAUCGAUCAAAAGUACAUUAGGGGUUAAUUGAUGAAAAAAAUACAAAAAUUGCACGGAGCGUUUCAACAAGUGGCUGGCACUUACUCCUUGUACGUUUAGUUGUUCGAUAAAGCUAGGUUAUUGUCGGGAUUGUCCGGAAGGGAAUCCUGCCUCACACCGAAUAGAAAUGGGUAUGGAAUUUUGUGCGACAUGAGGGCUCCGUAAACGGCGAAAACCAGGCAAGCGAAAACCGCCCAAAAACCGACUGAAUGCUCUUGAUGCGCGACUUCUUAGCCCAGCGGGCCUCCUCCUUCUUCAGUUGUUCAAUUCCCUGCAAAAAAAAAAAAAAAAACAAAACAAAAAUUAAUCCAAAUAAUUCUUUAAACAAUUGGUAUUCACUCACCGUCUGAUCGUUAAAAAUGGCUGUCAGCUGAGUUGCCAGCAUUAUGAUGGUGAAUAUGCCAAACAUCAAGCCCUCGAACGUGAGAAAGAGCAGCAGGAAUAUGGUGGAUGGCGGUGAGUACGGCGAGCAUGUGCGCCAAUCGUUCUUCACGCACUCUGCGAACUGCGUGAGCACUAGAAAGAGCGUAUGCAGCGAUAUCGAGGCAAUGUAGAACUGCAGAGAGAGAGAGAAAGAGUGAGAGUAAGCGUGCGUGGAAGCCGACAAAAAGUUCCUCAUUCGCUUACGGUGAAGAGUACAAAGUACUUUUGAUUGUUCUCUCCCACGCAAUUGUUAACCCAAGGGCAAUGGUGAUCCAUUUUCCUAAUACAUCGCUGGCAGACGGAGCAAUGAUGUGCCCGCUCGGGCUUGAUGCUACAGCACUUGGGGCACUUGUAGAACAUCUGACCCUCUCGAUAGCCCAUCUGUUCAAUCAUUUCCUUGGUAGCAUUUCCCCUUGGCACAGCGCCC
Molecule: long non-coding RNA, 3998 nt
Organism: Drosophila obscura
Lineage: Eukaryota; Metazoa; Arthropoda; Insecta; Diptera; Drosophilidae
Exons: 3
Source: RefSeq, a predicted model, not a curated record